GGUUAAGCGACUAAGCGUACACGGUGGAUGCCUAGGCAGUCAGAGGCGAUGAAGGGCGUGCUAAUCUGCGAAAAGCGUCGGUAAGGUGAUAUGAACCGUUAUAACCGACGAUACCCGAAUGGGGAAACCCAGUGCAAUUCGUUGCACUAUCGUUAGAUGAAUACAUAGUCUAACGAGGCGAACCGGGGGAACUGAAACAUCUAAGUACCCCGAGGAAAAGAAAUCAACCGAGAUUCCCCCAGUAGCGGCGAGCGAACGGGGAAGAGCCCAGAGUCUGAAUCAGGUUGUGUGUUAGUGGAAGCGUCUGGAAAGUCGCACGGUACAGGGUGAUAGUCCCGUACACCAAAACACACCUCCUGUGAACUCGAUGAGUAGGGCGGGACACGUGACAUCCUGUCUGAAUAUGGGGGGACCAUCCUCCAAGGCUAAAUACUCCUGACUGACCGAUAGUGAACCAGUACCGUGAGGGAAAGGCGAAAAGAACCCCGGCGAGGGGAGUGAAACAGAACCUGAAACCGUGUACGUACAAGCAGUGGGAGCACCUUCGUGGUGUGACUGCGUACCUUUUGUAUAAUGGGUCAGCGACUUAUAUUUUGUAGCAAGGUUAACCGAAUAGGGGAGCCGUAGGGAAACCGAGUCUUAACUGGGCGUCUAGUUGCAAGGUAUAGACCCGAAACCCGGUGAUCUAGCCAUGGGCAGGUUGAAGGUUGGGUAACACUAACUGGAGGACCGAACCGACUAAUGUUAGAAAAAUUAGCGGAUGACUUGUGGCUGGGG
RNAcentral lists this ribosomal RNA (777 nucleotides) under Yersinia enterocolitica W22703. Its description in RNAcentral is "bacterial LSU rRNA". It matches the Rfam family "Bacterial large subunit ribosomal RNA", at positions 1 to 820 of the family's 2925-position model. The record is from RNAcentral. Lineage: Bacteria; Pseudomonadati; Pseudomonadota; Gammaproteobacteria; Enterobacterales; Yersiniaceae.